AUGGACGCAAGUCUGAUGGAGCAACGCCGCGUGAGUGAAGAAGGUUUUCGGAUCGUAAAGCUCUGUUGUUGGUGAAGAAGGAUAGAGGUAGUAACUGGCCUUUAUUUGACGGUAAUCAACCAGAAAGUCACGGCUAACUACGUGCCAGCAGCCGCGGUAAUACGUAGGUGGCAAGCGUUGUCCGGAUUUAUUGGGCGUAAAGCGAGCGCAGGCGGAAAAAUAAGUCUAAUGUGAAAGCCCUCGGCUUAACCGAGGAAUUGCAUCGGAAACUGUUUUUCUUGAGUGCAGAAGAGGAGAGUGGAACUCCAUGUGUAGCGGUGGAAUGCGUAGAUAUAUGGAAGAACACCAGUGGCGAAGGCGGCUCUCUGGUCUGCAACUGACGCUGAGGCUCGAAAGCAUGGGUAGCGAACAGGAUUAGAUACCCUGGUAGUCCAUGCCGUAAACGAUGAGUGCUAAGUGUUGGGAGGUUUCCGCCUCUCAGUGCUGCAGCUAACGCAUGAAGCACUCCGCCUGGGGAGUACGACCGCAAGGUUGAAACUCAAAAGAAUUGACGGGGGCCCGCACAAGCGGUGGAGCAUGUGGUUUAAUUCGAAGCAACGCGAAGAACCUUACCAGGUCUUGACAUCU
This 627-nucleotide ribosomal RNA is filed under the name Lactobacillus sp. oral taxon 461. RNAcentral's name for it is "bacterial SSU rRNA". It matches the Rfam family "Bacterial small subunit ribosomal RNA", at positions 371 to 989 of the family's 1533-position model. The record is from RNAcentral. Lineage: Bacteria; Bacillati; Bacillota; Bacilli; Lactobacillales; Lactobacillaceae.